RNAcentral lists this ribosomal RNA (445 nucleotides) under Babesia gibsoni. RNAcentral describes it as "SSU rRNA". It matches the Rfam family "Eukaryotic small subunit ribosomal RNA", at positions 521 to 1018 of the family's 1831-position model. The record is from RNAcentral. Lineage: Eukaryota; Apicomplexa; Aconoidasida; Piroplasmida; Babesiidae. RNAcentral also lists the same sequence under 1 other name.
UGACGUAAAAUCUCACCAGAGUAACAAUUGGAGGGCAAGUCUGGUGCCAGCAGCCGCGGUAAUUCCAGCUCCAAUAGCGUAUAUUAAACUUGUUGCAGUUAAAAAGCUCGUAGUUGAAUUUCUGCGUUGCCCGACUCGGCUACUUGCCUUGUCUGGUUUCGCUUUUGGGGUUUUCCCCUUUUUACUUUGAGAAAAUUAGAGUGUUUCAAGCAGACUUGUGUCUUGAAUACUUCAGCAUGGAAUAAUAAAGUAGGACUUUGGUUCUAUUUUGUUGGUUUGUGAACCUUAGUAAUGGUUAAUAGGAACGGUUGGGGGCAUUCGUAUUUAACUGUCAGAGGUGAAAUUCUUAGAUUUGUUAAAGACGAACUACUGCGAAAGCAUUUGCCAAGGACGUUUUCAUUAAUCAAGAACGAAAGUUAGGGGAUCGAAGACGAUCAGAUACCGU